AUACGGAGGAUCCGAGCGUUAUCCGGAUUUAUUGGGUUUAAAGGGUGCGCAGGCGGGAGAUUAAGUCGGCGGUGAAAUUUUGCAGCUCAAAUGUAAAAGUGUCAUCGAUACUGGGUUUCUUGAGUGUGGAUGAAGUAGGCGGGAUUUGUGGUGUAGCGGUGAAAUGCAUAGAUAUCACGAGGAACUCCGAUUGCGCAGGCAGCUUACUAGGCCAUAACUGACGCUCAGGCACGAAGGCGUGGGGAUCAAACAGGAUUAGAUACCCUGGUAGUCCACGCAGUAAACGAUGAUUACUCGCUGUUUGCGAUACACAGUAAGCGGCUUAGCGAAAGCGUUAAGUAAUCCACCUGGGGAGUACGUUCGCAAGAAUGAAACUCAAAGGAAUUGACGGGG
This 393-nucleotide ribosomal RNA is filed under the name uncultured bacterium. Its description in RNAcentral is "partial 16S ribosomal RNA". It matches the Rfam family "Bacterial small subunit ribosomal RNA", at positions 523 to 918 of the family's 1533-position model. The record is from RNAcentral.